This 253-nucleotide ribosomal RNA is filed under the name uncultured bacterium. RNAcentral's name for it is "partial 16S ribosomal RNA". It matches the Rfam family "Bacterial small subunit ribosomal RNA", at positions 524 to 776 of the family's 1533-position model. The record is from RNAcentral.
UACGUAGGGUCCGAGCGUUGUCCGGAAUUACUGGGCGUAAAGAGCUCGUAGGUGGUUUGUCGCGUUGUCCGUGAAAACUCACAGCUCAACUGUGGGCGUGCGGGCGAUACGGGCAGACUGGAGUACUGCAGGGGAGACUGGAAUUCCUGGUGUAGCGGUGAAAUGCGCAGAUAUCAGGAGGAACACCGGUGGCGAAGGCGGGUCUCUGGACAGUUCCUGACACUGAGACACGAAGGCCAGGGGAGCAAACGGG